This 246-nucleotide ribosomal RNA is filed under the name uncultured bacterium. RNAcentral describes it as "partial 16S ribosomal RNA". It matches the Rfam family "Bacterial small subunit ribosomal RNA", at positions 527 to 772 of the family's 1533-position model. The record is from RNAcentral.
GUAGGGUGCGAGCGUUAAUCGGAAUUACUGGGCGUAAAGCGUGCGCAGGCGGUUAUAUAAAACAGAUGUGAAAUCCCCGGGCUCCACCUGGGAACUGCAUUUGUGACUGUAUAGCUAGAGUACGGCAGAGGGGGAUGGAAUUCCGCGUGUAGCAGUGAAAUGCGUAGAUAUGCGGAGGAACACCGAUGGCGAAGGCAAUCCCCUGGGCCUGUACUGACGCUCAUGCACGAAAGCGUGGGGAGCAAA